UGGGGAAUUUUGGACAAUGGGCGCAAGCCUGAUCCAGCCAUGCCGCGUGCGGGAAGAAGGCCUUCGGGUUGUAAACCGCUUUUGUCAGGGAAGAAACGAGUUUCUCUAAUACAGAGACUUAAUGACGGUACCUGAAGAAUAAGCACCGGCUAACUACGUGCCAGCAGCCGCGGUAAUACGUAGGGUGCGAGCGUUAAUCGGAAUUACUGGGCGUAAAGCGUGCGCAGGCGGUUAUAUAAGACAGAUGUGAAAUCCCCGGGCUCAACCUGGGACCUGCAUUUGUGACUGCAUAGCUAGAGUACGGUAGAGGGGGAUGGAAUUCCGCGUGUAGCAGUGAAAUGCGUAGAUAUGCGGAGGAACACCGAUGGCGAAGGCAAUCCCCUGGACCUGUACUGACGCUCAUGCACGAAAGCGUGGGGAGCAAACA
Molecule: ribosomal RNA, 427 nt
Filed under: uncultured bacterium
Lineage: Bacteria
Description: bacterial SSU rRNA
Rfam family: Bacterial small subunit ribosomal RNA
Source: RNAcentral